This 278-nucleotide ribosomal RNA is filed under the name uncultured Enterobacterales bacterium. Its description in RNAcentral is "partial 16S ribosomal RNA". It matches the Rfam family "Bacterial small subunit ribosomal RNA", at positions 504 to 782 of the family's 1533-position model. Lineage: Bacteria; Pseudomonadati; Pseudomonadota; Gammaproteobacteria; Enterobacterales. The record is from RNAcentral.
UGUGCCAGCAGCCGCGGUAAUACGGAGGGUGCAAGCGUUAAUCGGAAUUACUGGGCGUAAAGCGCACGCAGGCGGUUUGUUAAGUCAGAUGUGAAUCCCCGGGCUCAACCUGGGAACUGCAUCUGAUACUGGCAAGCUUGAGUCUCGUAGAGGGGGGUAGAAUUCCAGGUGUAGCGGUGAAAUGCGUAGAGAUCUGGAGGAAUACCGGUGGCGAAGGCGGCCCCCUGGACGAAGACUGACGCUCAGGUGCGAAAGCGUGGGGAGCAAACAGGAUUAGA